Small nuclear RNA from Hemibagrus wyckioides, 115 nucleotides. RefSeq annotates it as U5 spliceosomal RNA. The record is from RefSeq and is a predicted model, not a curated record. NCBI's taxonomy places the organism in Eukaryota, Metazoa, Chordata, Actinopteri, Siluriformes, Bagridae. The transcript has a single exon.
UAGCGCUGGUUUUUCUUAAGUCGUGCAUAAAUCUUUCGCCUUUUAUUAAAGAUUUUUGUGGUGAGGAACAUCAAUGAGUUUAAUGUGUUUUUGUGGGCUUUGCCCUGGCAAUGCU